UCGGCUUUUGCUUCCUGCACCCUUGUUUACUUCCUGCACCUCCCAGUUUUACAAAAUGGUCAUACUAACCUUGUCUUCCUCAGUUGUCCAUAGCUUGUUUUCCACACUUCUUCAUGCCUGAAACAUUGUCUUGUUCAUUUUGUGUAAGCAUUUUGGUUGCACAGGUUCACUUGCACAGGUGAGUUAUUAAUUGUCUUGUUUUUUCAAAAUGAAUUUUCAAGAUAGGUCUAGAUCAACAAAUCCGAAAUUAAAAUCAUAAAAGUAACAUAAUUUUGGAUCAAAUAAUCCGAAAAUGUAACAUAUUUCCAAAUUAGAUAAUUUGGAUUUGUUCUUGUACAAGUACACAUUUAUUGAUCUCGAAAUUAUUUGUAUUUGUUAAUUAGUCUAGAUCAAAUCAAAUCCCAAAUUAUACAGUUAUAAUUUCGAAUUGUUUGAUCCAAAUUGAGUGUUUUUGUUUCUCAGAUCAACUAAUCCAGAAUUUCUAAACAACAUUUCUGAAUUGCCCGAUCCAAAAAUUAUAUUAUAUUCUGGAUCAAGGGAAUUUGGAAUCGUUGCUUUAAAAUUAUGAAUUAGUCAAUUUGGUGUAGUAUUUUUAAAAUUCUGGAUAAAUCAAUCUGGUGUAUUAUUUUUCAUUUGCUUCUCGGGAAGGUUGGAAAUGAAACUUCUUACUCAUUUAAAAAUAUAUCUAGAGACCUUUCAAAUCCUAGAUAUAAAAUAUAAUCAAUAUAUAAUUAUAAAAUUAUAUGAUUGUGUUUGUGUCUAUUAUGUGCUUGUAAUCAAUAUACGUUUAACCUCUGGAUUUGAAAUUACUAUUUAUAUAUCUGGUAUUGACCAUAAUUUACAAGAAUAUUCUGUAGUCUUAGUAAGAGAGGAGAGGGUUAAAGAUUUACCUGAUAUGUAUGUAUUAUAAUACUCAAACAUUCAUUCAUAUCCACGUACAAAUUCACCUAAUAUUAUAUUCAAACUAUUUUAAUUGAGACUCUAUUUUCAUUUCAAUUUGCUAAUUACAACUACGGAUAAAUUAAUCUGAAAUAAUGUAAAUCAAAUUGGAAAUUUGUUUUGGAUUGAUUUAUUCAUAAUUUAUUUUAAUGUUAUGGAUCAGUUAAUCUAUAACAGAUUUUUAGAUUGAUUACAUUAUUUAACAACAAUCAAUCCGUAAUUAAAUAACGCAAUUUGAAAAUAUAUUUCAAAUUGCAUGAUCCGUAAAAUUACAAAUGUUACGAAUCAUGCAAUCCAGAAUAAAUUUUUGGAUUGACUGUCCAACUAGAAAUAGCUUGAUCCAAACACCACCAAACAACAAUCCAGAUUAAGCUAUUCAGAUGUAUCACAUAAAAUAAACAAAAGAAAAGGAAAAAUGAAGAUUCUCGUUACGGAUCGCUUGAUCCAAAUACAACAAAACACAAUCUGAAUCAAGCUAUCCAAAAAUAUUACAAAAGAUAAAAAAGGGGAAAAGCAAUCUCGAACUUACCUCUUGGAUCCUUGUCGAAGUGGGUGAUUCUUCACUCCUUCUACUCACAAACACGUUGAAGAAAACAAAAAUGCAAGAAGUAGUGGAGGUAUAGGGCGGCAAAGAGGGGGGAAGAGGAGGUGUCGCGCGGUGCACAAGAAAACCAAAAAAGAAAGAAGCCUAGGUUAAGUUAAAAGGGUGAGGGGCAAAUUUGUUC
RNAcentral lists this long non-coding RNA (1664 nucleotides) under Glycine max (soybean). Its description in RNAcentral is "long non-coding RNA (GMAX_LNC000488)". Lineage: Eukaryota; Viridiplantae; Streptophyta; Magnoliopsida; Fabales; Fabaceae. The record is from RNAcentral.